Molecule: long non-coding RNA, 1191 nt
Filed under: Setaria italica (foxtail millet)
Lineage: Eukaryota; Viridiplantae; Streptophyta; Magnoliopsida; Poales; Poaceae
Description: long non-coding RNA (SITA_LNC003390)
Source: RNAcentral
UUGGAUUUAAUUAUUGACACACGAAUUUGACAUACAAGCAUGAAUUUAACACAUGAAGCUGCCCCGUUUCUGUGCAGUCUGCUCUUUUUUCCUCCCCACAAGCCAUGCCUUAUCCAAUAGCGGUGCGGCGGCGAGCUGGGCAGGCGACGAUGAGCUUCACGGGCGGACACGGCGAGCUAGGCAGGUUGCGACGGCCGGCUUCUGUGCGAUAGCGGACAGCUCCGUGGGCGGCAACGGCAAGCCACCGAGAUGGGCGGGUAGCUGCGAGUUUUGCGCGUGCCGCACGACGGCGUCCAGCUUCGCGGGAAGCAGCGACGAGCAGCUUCCCCGGACGGCGACGGCGAGCAGCCUCGUGAUCGGAUUCGUGCCAUGUCUCCUUCCCAUGUCGAUUUUGCUCACCACCGCACUCGAUCCAACCGAGCCGUGGCCGGCUGGAGAUGACGCUUCCUCGGUCGUCUUUGUUUUUUCAUCGGGCAACCAGCCAGCGUCGUCGCCUCGCAAGACGACAGCGAUGUUCUCUCUCCGUAAUAGCUUCACUUCACAUACGCACCGAACCUACGUGACAAUCGUUGCUGAAGACAAAAAGACGUCUGUUGUACGUGCCUAAAAGAUCCACUGCACGAGGCAAGAAAGAGAUUAAUGGGACAGAUUCCGAUAAUGAGACAGAGAAAACAAUCCGUUGCAACUGCAGCAUAUAUUUGUUGGACGAAAUAUCGAUUAAGCACAAUCGCUCAUGCACGUGGAUGCAGCUCUGGGAAAUCAAUGCAUUUUGGUUGUCUCAUUCAGGGGGAAAAAGGGCAAAAGUCCUCUCUGCCGUGCGCACUAUGAUAAAAAAAAAUCGUUCUCCUGAAACCAAGAAAAAAAAGAACAAAAUACGUCUUGCGUAGGUGCAUUCCCCAUGAACAUGACAACAAAUUUCAACGUUUGCAUACCUCAGUGCUAGAGCGCCUAACUGUUUCAUCAACACGGUGCCCAUACAUUGCAUAUAAAUGUCAAAUCGGUGCUAGCCUCCUUCCCGGAAAGAGGACUGAAGACUAGUGAGUUGAAUCGUCACGAAAAUGAAUGAACAAGGUUGACGGGGGCUUCUCCUGCUUCACUGCAACUCUGCAAGCUGAGCAGCGGCGCGGUUCCGAAGCUCCUCUGAGCACAGAGCCUGCAAGAGGACAGACACGUACGCAACUGGUCGCCUCA